RNAcentral lists this transfer RNA (73 nucleotides) under Fasciola gigantica. It matches the Rfam family "tRNA". From Rfam's summary of the family: Transfer RNA (tRNA) molecules are approximately 80 nucleotides in length. Their secondary structure includes four short double-helical elements and three loops (D, anti-codon, and T loops). The record is from Rfam by way of RNAcentral. Lineage: Eukaryota; Metazoa; Platyhelminthes; Trematoda; Plagiorchiida; Fasciolidae.
AUUGUGAUAGCUCAGCUAUUAGAGCAUCUGCCCAGCUAGCGGAAUGUCGUUGGUUUGAUUCCAGCUCGCGGUG